CUAUACAUGCAGUCGAGCGGACAGAUGGGAGCUUGCUCCCUGAUGUUAGCGGCGGAGGGAGAGUAACACGUGGGUAACCUGCCUGUAAGACUGGGAUAACUCCGGGAAACCGGGGCUAAUACCGGAUGGUUGUUUGAACCGCAUGGUUCAAACAUAAAAGGUGGCUUCGGCUACCACUUACAGAUGGACCCGCGGCGCAUUAGCUAGUUGGUGAGGUAACGGCUCACCAAGGCAACGAUGCGUAGCCGACCUGAGAGGGUGAUCGGCCACACUGGGACUGAGACACGGCCCAGACUCCUACGGGAGGCAGCAGUAGGGAAUCUUCCGCAAUGGACGAAAGUCUGACGGAGCAACGCCGCGUGAGUGAUGAAGGUUUUCGGAUCGUAAAGCUCUGUUGGUAGGGAAGAACAAGAACCGUUCGAAUAGGGCGGGACCUUGACGGUACCUAACCUGAAAGCCCCCCCUAACUACUGCCACCC
This 479-nucleotide ribosomal RNA is filed under the name Bacillus sp. (in: firmicutes). RNAcentral describes it as "bacterial SSU rRNA". It matches the Rfam family "Bacterial small subunit ribosomal RNA", at positions 49 to 513 of the family's 1533-position model. Lineage: Bacteria; Bacillati; Bacillota; Bacilli; Caryophanales; Bacillaceae. The record is from RNAcentral.